GUCUUCGUGGUGUAACAGUAGCACACUCGGCUCAUACUCGAGAGGUCCAGGUUCAAGUCUCGGUGAGGACA
RNAcentral lists this transfer RNA (71 nucleotides) under Stegodyphus mimosarum. It matches the Rfam family "tRNA". Rfam says of the family: Transfer RNA (tRNA) molecules are approximately 80 nucleotides in length. Lineage: Eukaryota; Metazoa; Arthropoda; Arachnida; Araneae; Eresidae. The record is from Rfam by way of RNAcentral.